This 1286-nucleotide ribosomal RNA is filed under the name uncultured Acidobacteriota bacterium. Its description in RNAcentral is "bacterial SSU rRNA". It matches the Rfam family "Bacterial small subunit ribosomal RNA", at positions 35 to 1291 of the family's 1533-position model. The record is from RNAcentral. Lineage: Bacteria; Pseudomonadati; Acidobacteriota.
GCUGGCGGCGUGCCUCAGACAUGCAAGUCGAACGAGAAAGUUCCCUUCGGGGAGCGAGUAAAGUGGCGCACGGGUGAGUAACACGUAGGUAAUCUACCUUCGGGUGGGGAAUAACCCAGGGAAACUUGGGCUAACACCGCAUAAUGCACGCGGCACCACAUGGUGACAGUUGUUAAAGCGGGGGCUUUUAGGACCUCGCGCCUGAAGAGGAGCCUGCGGCGGAUUAGCUUGUUGGUAAGGUAACGGCUUACCAAGGCGACGAUCCGUAGCCGGCCUGAGAGGGCGGUCGGCCACACUGACACUGACAUACGGGUCAKACUCCUACGGGAGGCAGCAGUCGGGAAUUUUGGGCAAUGGGCGAAAGCCUGACCCAGCAACGCCGCGUGAAGGAUGAAAUCCCUCGGGAUGUAAACUUCGCAAGAAUGGGAAGAAUAAGUAGGGGACAAUACCCCCUAUGAUGACGGUACCAUUUGUAAGCUCCGGCUAACUCCGUGCCAGCAGCCGCGGUAAUACGGKGGGAGCAAGCGUUGUUCGGAUUUACUGGGCGUAAAGGGCGCGUAWGCGGCCAGCACAAGUCGGUUGUGAAAUCUCCGGGCUUAACUCGGAAAGGUCAACCGAUACUGUGCGGCUAGAGUGCGGAAGGGGCAACUGGAAUUCUCGGUGUAGCGGUGAAAUGCGUAGAUAUCGAGAGGAACACCUGCGGCGAAGGCGGGUUGCUGGGCCGACACUGACGCUGAGGCGCGAAAGCCAGGGGAGCGAACGGGAUUAGAUACCCCGGUAGUCCUGGCCUUAAACGAUGGAUGCUUGGUGUCUGGGGUUUUAUAGUCCCCGGGUGCCGUAGCUAACGCGUUAAGCAUCCCGCCUGGGGAGUACGGUCGCAAGACUGAAACUCAAAGGAAUUGACGGGGACCCGCACAAGCGGUGGAGCAUGUGGUUCAAUUCGACGCAACGCGAAGAACCUUACCUGGGCUAGAAUGCCUCUGACAACUCCAGAGAUGGAGCCUCUUAGGGAAACCUAGGCAGAGUGCAAGGUGCUGCAUGGCUGUCGUCAGCUCGUGUCGUGAGAUGUUGGGUUAAGUCCCGCAACGAGCGCAACCCUUAUCUUUAGUUGCUAGCGGUUCGGCCGAGCACUCUAGAGAAGACUGCCGUUGACAAAACGGAGGGAAGGUGGGGAUGACGUCAAGUCCUCAUGGCCUUUAUGUCCAGGGCUACACACGUGCUACAAUGGCCGGUACAAAGCGCUGCAAACUCGCAAGAGGGAGCCAAUCGCCAAAAGCCGGUCUCAG